AGAGUUUGAUCCUGGCUCAGGACGAACGCUGGCGGCGUGCUUAACACAUGCAAGUCUACGAGAAAGAGGUAGCAAUAUCUCAAGUAAAGUGGCGCAAGGGUGAGUAAUAUGUAAGUAAUCUACCUAUGGGUUCGGAAUAACGUCGAGAAAUCGGCGCUAAUACCGAAUAAUGCAGCGGCAUCGCAUGAUGAUGUUGUUAAAGUUGUCCCGACUUGUCGGGAUAACUCCUAUAGAUGAGCUUGCAUCUGAUUAGCUAGUUGGUAGGGUAAUUGCCUACCAAGGCUACGAUCAGUAGCUGGUCUGAGAGGAUGAUCAGCCACACUGGAACUGAGACACGGUCCAGACUCCUACGGGAGGCAGCAGUGAGGAAUAUUGGGCAAUGGACGGAAGUCUGACCCAGCAACGCCGCGUGGAGGAUGAAUGCCGUAAGGUUGUAAACUCC
RNAcentral lists this ribosomal RNA (442 nucleotides) under uncultured bacterium. RNAcentral's name for it is "bacterial SSU rRNA". It matches the Rfam family "Bacterial small subunit ribosomal RNA", at positions 8 to 433 of the family's 1533-position model. The record is from RNAcentral.